AACGAGCGACUUCCCUCCUCUCUCUCUCUCUUCUAUUUCCUCCCUCGCCCAGCCCAGCGCCGCCGCCAUCGCCUCCUCGCCCAGCCAAGCACCGAUGCCAUCGCCGCCUCCUCUCCGAGCGCCGCCGCCGCCGCCUCCUCUCCCAGCACCGCCGCCGACGCCAUAACCCCUUCCCCUAUAUCCCAUGGGGUCGGGGUGAGCACCGUCGACCCCAUCGUUUGUCCUCUGCCCACGCAAGUCCGUUCACCUCGGCCUCCUCCUGUGUCGUCGUCGGCCCAGCAGAGGCGGUCGAGCCGUUGAGGUGAGCAGCGUCGGGCAACUGUACGGUGUGUACUCUUCUUUUUUUCUUAUUCGUCGACGACGCAUCUGUGCUUUCCCGCGUCGCCUCACCUGCUACCACCAACAACAGCGUAGGGAUCUAGGCGGGGAAGAGCUGCAGCCGACCGCCAAGGGGGAGGGGCCCAAGGAUAGGCCUGCGCUGGCGGUGGCGAUGACGGAGGCGGAGGUGCAAGUGAAGGAGCAGGACGGAGGUGUGGUGGACAAGGCCGCCAUGGCCGCCUUUGACACAGCGCCUGCAUCUUCAUCCACUGCCUCUCUGCCAUGUAUGUGCCUCCUACCAUGCAUCUCCUUGUUAGUUAGGAUGACUUCUUUUUGGGUAAUCUUGGUGACUAAUUUGAUGUUUCUGUUGAAUGUUUGGGGGGUUUCCUGGGGGAGAAAAUAGUGGUAGUUAAUUUAUUGGCAUCAGUUAGCACUGUUGAAGAUUAGUUUAUUGACUUGAGGUUACAAUCCAUGAAAUUUACAUUUUUGGUCUUUCCUUCUUAUUGCUCAUCACAUUUUUAUAUAUGUGUGCCAUGGUUAAAGUUUGCUACUAUUAUUUCACAGAAAUAGUUAGCUAUAGAGGAUAGUUGAUCAAUUUGGUUAUAGCUUAUGGUGCAGACCAAGAACAAACGAUUGUUUUUGAAAGGUUUGAUUGCAGGUAUACCCAAAUCAAGGUCUUUUAUCUAAUUGGUUGGAUAACUACUUUUCAGGUGUCUUCUGAUUACCACAAUAACACAAUUUCCUUAUUCAUGCUUUACGGUUAGUAUUUUUUUUCACUCUGACAAAUUAACUUUUGUUGGUUGCAUGUCAAGUAACAAAGCUAAUACUUUUUUGUUGCUUCAUUGGCAUGGUUAGUUUUACAUCAUUUACUAAGUUGAAAGCAGUUGAGAUGUAUAACUUAAUAUCUACUGUUUUGUUGCGCGUUGCUAUUCCUUGAGGCUGCUCCAAGACGAUCCUUAUUUCAUAUGCAGACAGCUAAUUGCUGUAACAUGUUUAUACUGGUUGGCGUAGCUGUUUGGAUGGCAGUGUUCAUAGCUUAGUGGCAUUGUUUUAGCAUGUCUUUUUUUUCUCUGUAUCCUGUUGGUGCCUUUGGAAACUAAGAAUUACUUUUUCUAGGAUUCUUGCUGGAGGAGAUGAACUUUUAUGGUGAGUUUUUCCCCUGUAUGCCUCGCUUCAGAUAAUGUUUACCUCUGUUUAGUGCCAUUAUUGUUGUUGAACAAUUGAAGAUGUCUUAAAUGCACAUAACAUUGCUAAACCUGUAGGCUGAUGCUGUUGUUAUUAUAGAGGAGCUGUUCAAGGCCAAGGUUUUCCUUGUGAGAAUGCCAUAAUUACAAGAAAAGAUUGCCUGAAAGGUCUUUAUGGAGAUGCACUCACUCGGUCAGUUGCCCAUUGUAUUUUUUGGCCUGUUUGUUACAAUUUCUUGAGGCACAUAAUGCUGUUCGUACAACCUGCAGGUUAGAGGGCCUACCGAGGCUAGCGCGAGGUCUGCUAUGGCAUCGAUGAUGUAGGUGUCAUGACUGUGAGGACUGCUCACACUUCUCCGCUCACAAACCGUGUGGCAGAGUAAAUACUCCGGUCCACGACAAUUAGACCUUCCUCCCUCUCAGCUAUGGUAUUGCAGCGAUCUUCUUCCACCUUCAUUUGUUGAGUUGAAGCAUUAGAAGACAUCCUAUUUUUUUAGCUAUAUUUUGCAAUGUUACUGGUGAAAUAUUUUGUAUAUGGGUGAGGAUAUGGUCGCAGUGGCGUGAGCUUUUUCAUACAUUGAUUUGUUUAUGCAAACCGAUGUUUUCUGUUGUUAGGAUCAUCUGCUCUUUGAUACAUAUUUAUUACCUUCACUAUGCUCAUGGUGCUGCCAUGCUACUAUUUCUUAAUAAGCUUCUCCAUCAAACAUGUUCUAAUUAUGUCUUUCGAGCUGGGGGUUGCUCACCUGACCUUUCAUGAAAAAGAUGGCAAUCUGUUCGGUUUGCGAUCAUUUAUUUAUUUUAAUUAAGAUACCUAGGAAAGUUAGACAGACAUAAAACUUGGUCCAGGAACUCCUUGAUAUUGCAAUGGGUACUCUGUUAUCAUCUCAAUUUAUUAGUUGCUAGAGGUUGUACCUUUGACGUGGACCAUAAGUAGUCCAUAUGAGCUGAACUUUCUCCAGAGGAGAAAGUCCCGAUGCAAGCUGACAUGUUUCUUAGCUGUAAAUUUGGUUUUACCAUCGUCUGAAGAAUUUCUUCCUACCUGGUUGCUAGGCCUGACCAGUAUUCAGGCACCCUAGCCUUUUUGCCCCUUGGCAAGAAACCUUGGCAGGUGCCAUGAGCUACAGAAGCUGGAGUCCGAAACUCCUAGAGGGAUUGGAAGGUUUAUGGUGUUUGAAAUGAGAACCCAAUAAAAUUCUUUUCCAUGUCGUUGUCCAGCUGGAACUGAUAUUCUUAUUUCUCUUGUCAACACUGGAGAAGCUUAUUAAGAAACAGUGUCAGACUAAGUGGAAAUAAUUGGAAGAUUUUGCGUUAACUUAUUUCUCACUUGACCCCAUCUAUCCAGGUGCCACAAAGUGCCCAGGCAGCAGGAAGCACAUAUAAAACCAUUGAUGCUCUUUUCCGUAGGAGAAAUAAGUGAACGGGCAAUCUUUUCAUCUCUGUAUAAAUUCAGAUGUGAUUAGCCAGGUCCAGAAGGUUUGGUCUAUUUCUCACUUAAUCCCAUUUGUUCCUCUUUAGAUAGUACUUUUUCUUUGAGUUCAUAUGCGAUUAGCCUUCAUGAUGCAUGGAUGCAAAUUUUGCAGUUGGAUUCUUGAUGUGCACAUAAAUACGUUGAGAAGAUGGAACUAGAAUUAAGCUUCCGUCCAUCUGCAGGUUAGAAUAUGCCGUUAAUAGCAAAAGAUCCUUCUCAAUGUUACAUGUGCUUGAGCUGCUAUUUUGAAACAUAGCUGUUGAGGUGCUUAUCUUUUAGUUUGAGUUUUGUUAAUAUGGUCUGAAUUUAUCAUAAUUAUACUAUUUUAAGACGAAUAUAAAUUGCUGGAGUUAAUAUAUGUCAUGACCCACUGAUCAUGAACAACAAUCAACUCCUAGCCAUGCCAAAACAAAGCUAAAGAUGGAUAUUGCAAAGAAAGGUAUGACAUGAUAACCAAUACGGACAACAACAAGAUAGUAUAAUCCUUCAACAUAAGUAAAACAUAAGAUGGGGUCAACAAGCAUAUGCUUGCCUUGCUGGUCAAUGUCCUGAUGAAGCUGCGGAUCGAACUCAUAACACCCCUCGUUGCCGGACUCUAUUGAAACGACGAAGAAACCUUGGAAAAGAAGCAAACGGAGAAAAAUCAGUAUUCAUUAAUUUCCAAAAUGUGUAGAGCGCAUGAAUUGUAUGAGAUGUCAUGCAGAAAGUUGAAAAUGAAGCUACUGAAAUUGGCAACAAAAAUUUUCUUGGGCGUCUUAGAAUGCAAGUUGUGAAUUUUAAAAGAUUUAAAGACAUUUUGUUAAAGUAAAUCAUCUUUUAGACUGACUAAGCUUGAUUUUGUUAUGGAUUUUACAACUUUGAGCACUUUUAUGUGAUUUUCCUCAUAAAUCAAAUGUUAGAGUGAAAACUUUUAUAUAUAGGGAAGUCCAGCCUUAGUCUGACACUGUGACAAGCAAGUAAAUUAAACAGUACUGAAUAUGCCAUCUUUCUUCAUAGCUAAUCAAUCUCUCUUUCUCUCAUCUGCACGCAGGUCACGGCUAACGUCAUCAAGCAUCAACAUCAAGAAACAAGCAGCCAACAGAAUGCAGCAAAGCAGCUAGCGGCAGCAAGCAGCAAACAACAUCAGCAGCAUGCAGCCAGCAACAUGCAGAGGCGAUUUCUCACCUUGCUGUUAGUGCCGAGGUCGGGCGGAGCAGAGCAACGAGCUCCACACAGUGGCAAUGAUGGUCAGCGUCGAGGAAGAAUUAGGAGGGACCCAUGGCUUCGAAUGCCGAGGUCGGGCGGAGCAGAGCAACGAGCACCACACAGCGGCAAUGACGGUCAGCGUUGAGGAAUAAGUAGGAGGGACCCAUGGCGUGGUCCAGGGGAGACGUGGACAACGCGGAGCCCAUCACGGUCUGUCGAGCUGUUCGGUGAGGAGGAUGACCGCAGCGGCGACCGACGGAACCGAAGAAGGCAGCCUCGGUCCAAGAGGUUCCUGCGCGCUGGCACCCGGAAUCACCAUUAAAGGGACGACAGGAGCAACAUUAAUGAAGCUAGGAGUCUACUAGGAGCAAGAAUGCACCAGAAAUACGAGGUGGUUCCCGGCGGUGUCCAGCGGGCAUGCAUGUCAGAGCCAGAGGUGUGGACGUCGAUCCCGACCGAGGGCUGGUGUAUCCGGCCGAUUCAUUCGGUUGACGUUGCAACAGCGACUGGCAUCCCCGGCGAGCUGGACGAGAAAGGGGAUCUAGGAGGGAAAUGAAGUGAGGGAAGCAACGGGGCAGAGUAGGAGAAAAGGUGAAGGGGCAGGGGUUUGCCGGCGCGUGUCCCUGCGAGAUGGUGAUGUGGGCGUGGUGGUUCAGUAGUGGGGGCCGGUGGCAGCUGUCUUCCACCAUGUAUGCUGAAGGCAUUCCAUCUAAAACAACAUUGAGUGCGUGCUUAGAUCAGGUAAGACAAUGGCAAGAAUAAAUCCACCUAUCUGACUUUCCUCUAGGCAUUUCAAUUUGUCAGGAGCUGAAAUAUUGUGACCCGUGUUCAUUUAUGUGUUGCUAACUUUACAAGCGGCAAUCACACACUGCUUACACCAUGUACUAUUGGAUUGACGCACUUCCUUGAGCUCUAUGCGGUGCACCUGUCAAAGUUGGUAAAUGAAGCGGUAAGUUAUUCUUUUUUUCGGG
Molecule: long non-coding RNA, 5126 nt
Filed under: Triticum aestivum (bread wheat)
Lineage: Eukaryota; Viridiplantae; Streptophyta; Magnoliopsida; Poales; Poaceae
Description: long non-coding RNA (TAES_LNC011424)
Source: RNAcentral